This 484-nucleotide ribosomal RNA is filed under the name uncultured bacterium. RNAcentral describes it as "partial 16S ribosomal RNA". It matches the Rfam family "Bacterial small subunit ribosomal RNA", at positions 28 to 507 of the family's 1533-position model. The record is from RNAcentral.
GACGAACGCUGGCGGCAGGCCUAACACAUGCAAGUCGAGCGGAUGAAGGGAGCUUGCUCCUGGAUUCAGCGGCGGACGGGGGAGUAAUGCCUAGGAAUCUGCCUGGUUGGGCGGGAUAACGUCCGGAAACGGGCGCUAAUACCGCAUACGUCCUGAGGGAGAAAGUGGGGGAUCUUCGGACCUCACGCUAUCAGAUGAGCCUAGGUCGGAUUAGCUAGUUGGUGGGGUAAAGGCCUACCAAGGCGACGAUCCGUAACUGGUCUGAGAGGAUGAUCAGUCACACUGGAACUGGGACACGGUCCAGGCUCCUACGGGAGGCAGCAGUGGCGAAUAUUGGACAAUGGGCGAAAGCCUGCUCCAGCCAUGCGGCGUGUGUGGAGAAGGUCUUCGGAUUGUAAAGCACUUUUAGUUGGGAGGAAGGGCUGUAAGUUAAUACCUUGCUGUUUUGACGUUACCAACAGAAUAAGCACCGGCUAACUUCGUG